GACGAACGCUGGCGGCGUGCCUAAUACAUGCAAGUAGAACGCUGAAGGAGGAGCUUGCUUCUCCGGAUGAGUUGCGAACGGGUGAGUAACGCGUAGGUAACCUGCCUGGUAGCGGGGGAUAACUAUUGGAAACGAUAGCUAAUACCGCAUAAGAGUAGAUGUUGCAUGACAUUUGCUUAAAAGGUGCAGUUGCAUCACUACCAGAUGGACCUGCGUUGUAUUAGCUAGUUGGUGGGGUAACGGCUUACCAAGGCGACGAUACAUAGCCGACGUGUGAGGGUGAUCAGCCACACUGGGACUGAGACACGGCACAGACUCCUACGGGAAGCAGCCGUAGGGAAACUUCGGCAAUGGGCGGAAGUCUUACCGAGCAACGCCGCGUGAGUGAGGAAGGUUUUCGGAUCGGAAAGCACUGUUGUAGGAGAAGAAAGAGUGUGAGAGUGGAAAGUUCACACUGUGACGGUAUCUGACCAAGAAGGGACGGCUAACUACGUG
This 495-nucleotide ribosomal RNA is filed under the name uncultured bacterium. RNAcentral's name for it is "partial 16S ribosomal RNA". It matches the Rfam family "Bacterial small subunit ribosomal RNA", at positions 28 to 507 of the family's 1533-position model. The record is from RNAcentral.